Molecule: ribosomal RNA, 253 nt
Filed under: uncultured bacterium
Lineage: Bacteria
Description: partial 16S ribosomal RNA
Rfam family: Bacterial small subunit ribosomal RNA
Source: RNAcentral
UACAUGGGGUGCGAACGUUGCUCGGAAUUAUUGGGCGUAAAGCGCGCGUCGGCGGUUACUUAAGUCGGGUGUGAAAGCCCUCGGCUUAACUGAGGAAGUGCACCCGAAACUGAGUAGCUAGAGUACGAAAGAGGGUCGCGGAAUUCCCGGUGUAGAGGUGAAAUUCGUAGAUAUCGGGAGGAACACCGGUGGCGAAGGCGGCGACCUGGGUCGAGACUGACGCUGAGGCGCGAAAGCGUGGGGAGCAAACAGG